RNAcentral lists this microRNA precursor (114 nucleotides) under Drosophila guanche. Lineage: Eukaryota; Metazoa; Arthropoda; Insecta; Diptera; Drosophilidae. The record is from RNAcentral.
GGCAGUAGCAGCAGCAGCAGCAGCAGGAACAGCUGUAAUAAUAAUCGCUGUGGAAAAACGCCAUUGGAGAAAUGGUUGCAGUCGCUUGUUGCUGCUGCUGCUGCUGCCUUUGCC